Molecule: small nucleolar RNA, 104 nt
Organism: Mercurialis annua (annual mercury)
Lineage: Eukaryota; Viridiplantae; Streptophyta; Magnoliopsida; Malpighiales; Euphorbiaceae
Product: small nucleolar RNA Z279/snoR105/snoR108
Exons: 1
Source: RefSeq, a predicted model, not a curated record
GGGAUGUGAUGAGUGGUCAUAAAUCGCUAAUUAUAAUGCGAGAUGAGUGUCCGCCCUAAGCCAGUUACGACAACUGGGCACUCUCAUCAGAACCAUCUGAUCCC